Molecule: ribosomal RNA, 243 nt
Filed under: uncultured bacterium
Lineage: Bacteria
Description: partial 16S ribosomal RNA
Rfam family: Bacterial small subunit ribosomal RNA
Source: RNAcentral
UAACGCGUGGAUAACCUGCCGUAUGCAGGGGGAUACCAACUGGAAACAGUUGCUAAUACCGCAUAAGCGCACAGCACCGCAUGGUGCAGUGUGAAAAGAUUUAUCGGCAUACGAUGGAUCCGCGUCCGAUUAGCCAGUUGGCGGGGUAGAAGCCCACCAAAGCGACGAUCGGUAGCCGGCCUGAGAGGGCGGACGGCCACAUUGGGACUGAGACACGGCCCAAACUCCUACGGGAGGCAGCAG